RNAcentral lists this ribosomal RNA (434 nucleotides) under uncultured Lachnospiraceae bacterium. Its description in RNAcentral is "partial 16S ribosomal RNA". It matches the Rfam family "Bacterial small subunit ribosomal RNA", at positions 341 to 792 of the family's 1533-position model. Lineage: Bacteria; Bacillati; Bacillota; Clostridia; Lachnospirales; Lachnospiraceae. The record is from RNAcentral.
ACGGAAGGCAGCAGUGGGGAAUAUUGCACAAUGGGGGAAACCCUGAUGCAGCGACGCCGCGUGGAGGAAGAAGUAUUUCGGUACGUAAACUCCUAUCAGCAGGGAAGAAAAUGACGGUACCUGACUAAGAAGCCCCGGCUAACUACGUGCCAGCAGCCGCGGUAAUACGUAGGGGGCGAGCGUUAUCCGGAUUCACUGGGUGUAAAGGGAGCGUAGACGGCAGGGCAAGUCCGAUGUGAAAACCCGCGGCUCAACCGCGGGCCUGCAUUGGAAACUGUCCGGCUAGAGUUCUGGAUGGGCAGGCGGAAUUCCUGGUGUAGCGGUGAAAUGCGUAGAUAUCAGGAGGAACACCGGUGGCGAAGGCGGCCUGCUGGACGGAUACUGACGUUGAUGCUCGAAAGCGUGGGGAGCAAACAGGAUUAGAUACCCUGGUA